This 1489-nucleotide ribosomal RNA is filed under the name Lactiplantibacillus plantarum. Its description in RNAcentral is "bacterial SSU rRNA". It matches the Rfam family "Bacterial small subunit ribosomal RNA". The record is from RNAcentral. Lineage: Bacteria; Bacillati; Bacillota; Bacilli; Lactobacillales; Lactobacillaceae.
GACGAACGCUGGCGGCGUGCCUAAUACAUGCAAGUCGAACGAACUCUGGUAUUGAUUGGUGCUUGCAUCAUGAUUUACAUUUGAGUGAGUGGCGAACUGGUGAGUAACACGUGGGAAACCUGCCUAGAAGCGGGGGAUAACACCUGGAAACAGAUGCUAAUACCGCAUAACAACUUGGACCGCAUGGUCCGAGUUUGAAAGAUGGCUUCGGCUAUCACUUUUGGAUGGUCCCGCGGCGUAUUAGCUAGAUGGUGGGGUAACGGCUCACCAUGGCAAUGAUACGUAGCCGACCUGAGAGGGUAAUCGGCCACAUUGGGACUGAGACACGGCCCAAACUCCUACGGGAGGCAGCAGUAGGGAAUCUUCCACAAUGGACGAAAGUCUGAUGGAGCAACGCCGCGUGAGUGAAGAAGGGUUUCGGCUCGUAAAACUCUGUUGUUAAAGAAGAACAUAUCUGAGAGUAACUGUUCAGGUAUUGACGGUAUUUAACCAGAAAGCCACGGCUAACUACGUGCCAGCAGCCGAGGUAAUACGUAGGUGGCAAGCGUUGUCCGGAUUUAUUGGGCGUAAAGCGAGCGCAGGCGGUUUUUUAAGUCUGAUGUGAAAGCCUUCGGCUCAACCGAAGAAGUGCAUCGGAAACUGGGAAAAUUGAGUGCAGAAGAGGACAGUGGAACUCCAUGUGUAGCGGUGAAAUGCGUAGAUAUAUGGAAGAACACCAGUGGCGAAGGCGGCUGUCUGGUCUGUAACUGACGCUGAGGCUCGAAAGUAUGGGUAGCAAACAGGAUUAGAUACCCUGGUAGUCCAUACCGUAAACGAUGAAUGCUAAGUGUUGGAGGGUUUCCGCCCUUCAGUGCUGCAGCUAACGCAUUAAGCAUUCCGCCUGGGGAGUACGGCCGCAAGGCUGAAACUCAAAGGAAUUGACGGGGGCCCGCACAAGCGGUGGAGCAUGUGGUUUAAUUCGAAGCUACGCGAAGAACCUUACCAGGUCUUGACAUACUAUGCAAAUCUAAGAGAUUAGACGUUCCCUUCGGGGACAUGGAUACAGGUGGUGCAUGGUUGUCGUCAGCUCGUGUCGUGAGAUGUUGGGUUAAGUCCCGCAACGAGCGCAACCCUUAUUAUCAGUUGCCAGCAUUAAGUUGGGCACUCUGGUGAGACUGCCGGUGACAAACCGGAGGAAGGUGGGGAUGACGUCAAAUCAUCAUGCCCCUUAUGACCUGGGCUACACACGUGCUACAAUGGAUGGUACAACGAGUUGCGAACUCGCGAGAGUAAGCUAAUCUCUUAAAGCCAUUCUCAGUUCGGAUUGUAGGCUGCAACUCGCCUACAUGAAGUCGGAAUCGCUAGUAAUCGCGGAUCAGCAUGCCGCGGUGAAUACGUUCCCGGGCCUUGUACACACCGCCCGUCACACCAUGAGAGUUUGUAACACCCAAAGUCGGUGGGGUAACCUUUUAGGAACCAGCCGCCUAAGGUGGGACAGAUGAUUAGGGUG